GGUUCUGGGAUAGGAUCUGGCCUCAUGAACAGCAAAUGAGAUGAUGCCAGUUAAGCAAAGCCAACACAACUUGGGCUCAAGCAGCCAAAGGCCAAAUUGGAGGCUCUAGAUCCUUCCAGCUUCAGGUCGGGCAGGAUUGUUCCUGGGAACUAGAAGGAGACCCACUGCAGGCACUAUGCAAAGCCAGAGGGGAGAACCCGAAGACAUAAGACGUGGUCUUUCCUGGGGAGGUUCCCCAUCUAGUAGGAGAGAGACACAAGUGGAUGGAUGGCCCAGAUGCAGGAUAGUUAGAGGUCCACUCAAGGUCAAGUUCUAUGCUGUGAGACUCCACGGAAACAGUUCCAUCUCCCCCGUGGAGUCUGAACUAGAUCCACUAAAAGGCCAGUUUCAAAGGCCAUCUGAGACCCAGAUGGUGCUUGAACAAAAAUGGUCAGCGGUAACUCAUCAACCUGGAUUCCCGAGGAAGAAGAGUGCCAGCAAGGCCACCAUCUCAGAACUGGCAAACUGCAAGACUGUCCUCUGGUCUAACCACCACCCCUCUUCCGCGUUCCUGCCACACGGGUGCACCCCUACCUACCGGGACAGGAAUCCCACUACGUUCUUUUCCUCUUACUAAAAGGAUAAACUUUAAACUCUUUUGCUUUUUCCGUGUGCUUCGAGAUGAUGUUUGAAAUACAUACAAACCCUUCCCUUCAUCAAAUUUCGCUGAAAUAAUAGAAAGGCACGUAAAAAGAAUAUAUUCAUAUCUGCCCAAGAAAAUGAGAAAUCAUGGCUCCAGGAGAACAGAGAAAUUUGAAGACUUUCUAGAAGACAAAAAGCAGAUAGAAUCCAAUUUAUGGAGAAAACCAGAGUGGUUAAAUCAGCAUGGAGAAAUUGACUAAGGAGAUGUAAGCUGUUCUCUCCAACAGAAUCUUGGGGAGACUCCCAGUUUAGGGAGCAGGGAGCAGGCCAUGGUGUAGACAUCAGGCAAAGAACUAUUGAAUAAACAGGCAGCAGUCUCUUUCUCUCCCGA
Long non-coding RNA from Acinonyx jubatus (cheetah), 1012 nucleotides. RefSeq lists it as uncharacterized. The record is from RefSeq and is a predicted model, not a curated record. NCBI's taxonomy places the organism in Eukaryota, Metazoa, Chordata, Mammalia, Carnivora, Felidae. The transcript is spliced from 4 exons.